UGUCUUCUCUAGCGCAUAUAUGAGAUGCACCCGCCUUUGUUCCUUAAAUCCGGGUGUGACAGGGUUGCCGAAGGUAUCAACUACUACGACAACGACUCCUAGAAAGAGGAGAAUGGCUAGUGUUUUGGAUGCUGUUUUACAAUUUACUAAGACGCCAACUUCUGCUUUUGCCGGAGCUUUUGACAAGAAGACUGAAGAUGCAAGAGAAGUGACCACUGCAAGCGCCACUUCUAUUCAUGUUGAAACAGGGCCUUCGGGGGCUGCGCCAGUAGAGAUGAUGAAAGAAAGUCUUCCAGUAAAACCCACGUCACCUAUUCCCGAAGUACCUCUCCAGGGUGAUUUGGACUAUAUUAUUCAACAUGCUUUAGGGAAGCGACUAUCUGAAGAGCAGAUUGCCGAAGUGCAACACUAUGCUAAGGAACUAAAAUACCCCCAAGGGUCCUUGGUAUACGGAGGAGACAACGAAGAUGACUUCUUUUACUGUCUACCAGAUAGUAAGGACAUCAGUAUUUGCCAUGAGAUGAUGGACAACAUGGGUUAUCCGAAGCUUGAGCGUGGUCUGUCUAUGAUGACGAAGGACCAGCUUGGAGAUAGCCUCGCCUACAACACCUUGAAGUUUUAAAAGCUCAAAAAGAUGCAGAAGAUGAGAGCAGCCAAAUAGCAAUUGGAAACCUUCAAAAGGAUAAGAUUCUUCUCUCUUUGGUGGAGAGAUUAAAAUCUAGUGAUGCCAGGCUUUCUAGCCUUUCUGAAGCAAACAAGAGGAUAAAGAAGGCGGAAAAGAGACAAUUGAAAGAUGUGAAGCGCAUUGCUGAUCUUGGAGUAUGCGUUGUCCACUCAAGUGGAAUUGCAUAGAACCGAAGUGCAAGAAUUAGAAAAGAAACUUAACAAAGUAACUGAAAAUUUCAAUGUGGAACAAACAAAGCGUGAGAUAUCUGACAUGGAACAGUUAAGGGUGCAGAAAAAUAUUGAGGAGCUUCGUCAAGCUAAAGAGGAAUGCAACAAUGUUGCCAAGGAAUGAGCUAAUAAUUUCAAAAAUAGUUUUACUAAGGUUGGCGCAUUCUCCUCAUAGCAGAACUUUAUUCGCGGUGAUCCUGACGGGGUUAUCUAGUGGAUUAACGGUGAAGCCAAAGCUUUUAAGGAGAUUCUCAAUGAUAGGGGAGACUUCUCCGCUUUUGCCAGCGCCUGUGGGGCCGUGUCGGUCCUUGAAAAGGUUGGCUGCGAAUAUGCCAAGGCUGUGGUUCAGCCAUGAUUCUUGCUCUCAACCAACGAUGUUAGAAACCCAUCGGCUGAAGCCACUACACUAAGUGGAAAGUUUUAUUCCGAAGUAUGGCUGAAGGGUAGCCGAGAGAUAGCUGCUGAAGUAAUCAGAAAGAAUGAGAAAGAGCCUCAUGAUGCCUUGGAAGUGGCCAGAAGAACUAAAGAAGCUACUGAAUGUGCCAGACUUAUAGCUGAGCUCUCUCCCCCUCCAGAGCCAUACGAUACUGAAACUGAUCCAUAUCUGAAGGGGGCGCUUGACAUAAUUAGAAUAGCUUACGAAGCCGUUGACGAAGCUGUUAACAGACAACUAGACGAAGCUGCUAACAAAAUUUUAAAAGAUGACUAGGGCCUAUCUAUUGAGAAUUAGAAUCUUUGCAUGUAGUUUUGUUUUUGUAAGAAACAAUUACCAACUAUCUGUAUAUUUAAUGAUGUAAUAUAUUUCUUUGUGAGGC
Long non-coding RNA from Zea mays, 1709 nucleotides. RefSeq lists it as uncharacterized. The transcript is spliced from 3 exons. The record is from RefSeq and is a predicted model, not a curated record. NCBI's taxonomy places the organism in Eukaryota, Viridiplantae, Streptophyta, Magnoliopsida, Poales, Poaceae.